UCAUGACCUUACCGUAGGUCACGUGAUGGUUUUUAGGACUUUUUAAAAAAAAAUAAACCAUUAUAAGAUUUUCUUUGAAUAACAAGAGGAGCACUGGGCCAGAAGAAAGGAGGAAUACAUUUGGGUCAUCACUCCAUCCCUUCCAACCUAUGUGACCAUGAGCAAAUCAUCUCGCCAACCCUGAAUUUGAUGAUCUGGAAAAUGAGUAAAGUAUAUAUCACAUCAGGUCAUGACCAAACUCAAUACAGAAUCCUACUGCAAGAAAAAAGUGUACAACAUUAAUCUAUUGAGAAGCUACACAAUACACAUGAUACCCUCCUGGGAAAACUUGCCAUAGAACAAAGGAACUUCUGCUAAAAUGCAAAUAUGGGCACGGGUUCUAAAAUAAAUUCUGAAUUCGUUUUUUUGUAAGAUUAACCCUGCUU
Molecule: non-coding RNA, 425 nt
Organism: Odocoileus virginianus texanus
Lineage: Eukaryota; Metazoa; Chordata; Mammalia; Artiodactyla; Cervidae
Source: RefSeq, a predicted model, not a curated record